RNAcentral lists this long non-coding RNA (219 nucleotides) under Glycine max (soybean). Its description in RNAcentral is "long non-coding RNA (GMAX_LNC004659)". The record is from RNAcentral. Lineage: Eukaryota; Viridiplantae; Streptophyta; Magnoliopsida; Fabales; Fabaceae.
UCAACUAAGGUCUUGGAAUCAGUCUCGAAAAUGACUGUGAUAUACGGUAUAAGGUAAUUUGCGCAACCCAUUUUAUAGUUUGUAACAAAGCAAAGGCCUUCCCUUCCUUGACGUAUUGUGUUUAUAGUUAGAUAAUAAGUUUUCGAGUUAUUUAAUUUUCAUUAAAAUAUAUGAAGCUGAUGUUGAUUUAUGGGGGUACAAGUGUGAAUUGUAAUUUUU